Molecule: ribosomal RNA, 490 nt
Filed under: uncultured bacterium
Lineage: Bacteria
Description: bacterial SSU rRNA
Rfam family: Bacterial small subunit ribosomal RNA
Source: RNAcentral
CUACGUGCCAGCAGCCGCGGUAAUACGGAGGGUGCGAGCGUUAAUCGGAAUAACUGGGCGUAAAGGGCACGCAGGCGGUGACUUAAGUGAGGUGUGAAAGCCCCGGGCUUAACCUGGGAAUUGCAUUUCAUACUGGGUCGCUAGAGUACUUUAGGGAGGGGUAGAAUUCCACGUGUAGCGGUGAAAUGCGUAGAGAUGUGGAGGAAUACCGAAGGCGAAGGCAGCCCCUUGGGAAUGUACUGACGCCCAUGUGCGAAAGCGUGGGGAGCAAACAGGAUUAGAUACCCUGGUAGUCCACGCUGUAAACGAUGUCGAUUUGGGGGUUGAGCUUUGAGCUUGGCGCCCGUAGCUAACGUGAUAAAUCGACCGCCUGGGGAGUACGGCCGCAAGGUUAAAACUCAAAUGAAUUGACGGGGGCCCGCACAAGCGGUGGAGCAUGUGGUUUAAUUCGAUGCAACGCGAAGAACCUUACCUACUCUUGACAUCCAGA